UACGUAGGGGGCAAGCGUUGUCCGGAUUCAUUGGGCGUAAAGAGCGUGUAGGCGGCCAGGUAGGUCGGUUGUGAAAACUGGAGGCUCAACCUUCAGACGUCGACCGAAACCAUCUGGCUAGAGUCCGGGAGAGGAGAGUGGAAUUCCUGGUGUAGCGGUGAAAUGCGCAGAUAUCAGGAAGAACACCCGUGGCGAAAGCGGCUCUCUGGAACGGUACUGACGCUGAGACGCGAAAGCGUGGGGAGCAAACAGG
Molecule: ribosomal RNA, 253 nt
Filed under: uncultured bacterium
Lineage: Bacteria
Description: partial 16S ribosomal RNA
Rfam family: Bacterial small subunit ribosomal RNA
Source: RNAcentral